Molecule: ribosomal RNA, 331 nt
Filed under: uncultured eukaryote
Lineage: Eukaryota
Description: partial 18S ribosomal RNA
Rfam family: Eukaryotic small subunit ribosomal RNA
Source: RNAcentral
CCCUUAGAUGUUCGGGGCCGCACGCGCGCUACUCUGACGGAGGCAGCGAGCAUGUCCUUCGCCGAGAGGUGUGGGGAAUCUUGUGAGUCUCCGUCGUGCUGGGGAUAGAUGGUUGCAAUUGUCGAUCUUGAACGAGGAAUUCCUAGUAAGCGCGAGUCAUCAGCUCGCGCUGAUUACGUCCCUGCCCUUUGUACACACCGCCCGUCGCUACUACCGAUUGGAUGGCUUAGCGAGAAUUUUGGAUCGGAGCCCGGGUGGUCGGCAACGGUCGCCCGGGAGAUCUGAGAAAUCAUUCCAGCUUGAUCAUCUAGAGGAAGUAAAAGUCGUAACA